UUUUUUGAAUCUAGGAGCCAAUGCUUUAAGUUACCCUGUCUUCUUACUUUCCUUUAACAUGAUAAAAAUAGAUUAAUCUGCCAUGAAAAAGUGAAAAUACCAAACCUUGGUGUGUGAUGGGAAAUGAACUCAUGAAACACUACUGGACUUAUGUAUCAGCACAACACCUUAGUAUAGAUUUAUCUGCGCCUGUGUCCUGGGCCAUAUUUUAUAAUUUGAUUAAUAUUGUCCUUUGGGAAUCCCUGAUUCAAUAGGAUUAGUAUCCUUAUGAAAAGAGACUCAACAGAGCUUGCUCUCAUUCUCCCUCUGCCAUGUAAGGACACAGUGAGAGGACAGCUGUCUACAAGCCAAGAGAAGAAACCUGAAUGAAACCUAUCUUGGUGGUACUUGAUCUUAGACUUUCCAAUCUCCAGAACUGUGAGAAAUAAGUUUCUUUUGUUUGUUUAAUCUAACCCAGACUAUGGUAUUUUAUUAAGGCAGCCCAAACAGACUAAGACCAGUCAUUUGUGUGGAUGAUUGAUGUGGCAUGUGGUUGAUGUUUUAGGAAAGGGUGAUAUUCAAGGACGUGGCUGUUGUCCUCACCAAGGAAGAGCUGGCACUAUUGGAUAAAGCCCAGAUAAACCUGUACCAAGAUGUGAUGUUGGAAAACUUCAGGAACCUCAUGUCAGUGAGUGAGUAACUGAGCA
This 686-nucleotide long non-coding RNA is filed under the name Homo sapiens (human). RNAcentral describes it as "non-protein coding lnc-IGSF23-1:1". Lineage: Eukaryota; Metazoa; Chordata; Mammalia; Primates; Hominidae. The record is from RNAcentral.